Molecule: ribosomal RNA, 460 nt
Filed under: uncultured bacterium
Lineage: Bacteria
Description: partial 16S ribosomal RNA
Rfam family: Bacterial small subunit ribosomal RNA
Source: RNAcentral
CCUACGGGUGGCAGCAGUGAGGAAUAUUGGUCAAUGGGCGAGAGCCUGAACCAGCCAAGUCGCGUGAGGGAUGACGGUCCUACGGAUUGUAAACCUCUUUUGUCAGGGAGCAAUUAGGUCCACGCGUGGGCUUAGCGAGAGUACCUGAAGAAAAAGCAUCGGCUAACUCCGUGCCAGCAGCCGCGGUAAUACGGAGGAUGCGAGCGUUAUCCGGAUUUAUUGGGUUUAAAGGGUGCGUAGGCGGAAUAUCAAGUCAGCGGUAAAAAUUCGGGGCUCAACCCCGUCGAGCCGUUGAAACUGGUGUUCUGGAGUGGGCGAGAAGUAUGCGGAAUGCGCGGUGUAGCGGUGAAAUGCAUAGAUAUCACGCAGAACUCCGAUUGCGAAGGCAGCAUACCGGCGCCAAACUGACGCUGAGGCACGAAAGCGUGGGUAUCGAACAGGAUUAGAUACCCUUGUAGUC